RNAcentral lists this unclassified non-coding RNA (255 nucleotides) under Hevea brasiliensis (rubber tree). The record is from RNAcentral. Lineage: Eukaryota; Viridiplantae; Streptophyta; Magnoliopsida; Malpighiales; Euphorbiaceae.
UACUGAUCAUACAAUAUUUUUUGCUUUGGAUUAGAAUAAGCGGAUUGAGGUAGAAAAGAUUAUCAUGGAUUAGAUAUCUUUUUGCAAAGAAAUAAAAGGAAUGAUUCCCCCUUUCAAAUUUAAGAAUUCUAAAGGGAUUUAGGUCUAGAUAGGGCUUUCAUAUCAUUCUCAGACAAGGUGAUUGUCAUUUUGACAAAUGAGUCCCAUUCAAUGUUUUGUAGCUUGGCACUUCAUAGCUGUAAGCUAAGCUAUAGG